GAUGAAGAACGUAGCGAAAUGCGAUAAGUAAUGUGAAUUGCAGAAUUCAGUGAAUCAUCGAAUCUUUGAACGCACAUUGCGCCCGCCAGUAUUCUGGCGGGCAUGCCUGUCCGAGCGUCAUUUCAACCCUCGAACCCCUCCGGGGGGUCGGCGUUGGGGAUCGGCACUUACCUGCCGGCCCCGAAAUACAGUGGCGGUCUCGCCGCAGCCUCUCCUGCGCAGUAGUUUGCACACUCGCACCGGGAGCGCGGCGCGUCCACGGCCGUAAAACAACCCAAACUUCUGAAAUGUUGACCUCGGAUCAGGUAGGAAUACCCGCUGAACUUAAGCAUAUCAAAAGCGGAGGA
Molecule: unclassified non-coding RNA, 347 nt
Filed under: soil metagenome
Description: partial contains 5.8S ribosomal RNA, internal transcribed spacer 2, and large subunit ribosomal RNA
Rfam family: 5.8S ribosomal RNA (bases 1-120)
Source: RNAcentral